RNAcentral lists this ribosomal RNA (429 nucleotides) under Gemmatimonadota bacterium. RNAcentral's name for it is "Gemmatimonadetes bacterium partial 16S ribosomal RNA". It matches the Rfam family "Bacterial small subunit ribosomal RNA", at positions 355 to 776 of the family's 1533-position model. The record is from RNAcentral. Lineage: Bacteria; Pseudomonadati; Gemmatimonadota.
UAGGGAAUCUUCGGCAAUGGACGAAAGUCUGACCGAGCAACGCCGCGUGAGUGAAGAAGGUUUUCGGAUCGUUAAACUCUCUUGUUAGAGAAGAACAAGGACGUUAGUAACUGAACGUCCCCUGACGGUAUCUAUCCAGAAAGCCACGGCUAACUACGUGCCAGCAGCCGCGGUAAUACGUAGGUGGCAAGCGUUGUCCGGAUUUAUUGGGGGUAAAGCGAGCGCAGGCGGUUUCUUAAGUCUGAUGUGAAAGCCCCCGGCUCAACCGGGGAGGGUCAUGGGAAGCUGGGAGACUUGAGUGCAGAAGAGGAGAGUGGAAUUCCAUGUGUAGCGGUGAAAUGCGUAGAUAUAUGGAGAAACACCAGGGGAGAAGGCGGCUCUCUGGGCUGUACCUGACGAUGUGGAUCGAAAGCGUGGGGAGCAAACAGG